This 22-nucleotide microRNA is filed under the name Pristionchus pacificus. RNAcentral describes it as "ppc-miR-8259-3p". The record is from miRBase by way of RNAcentral. Lineage: Eukaryota; Metazoa; Nematoda; Chromadorea; Rhabditida; Neodiplogasteridae.
UUGAGCAAGCUCUCGUCGCAUC